Molecule: transfer RNA, 68 nt
Filed under: Loxodonta africana (African savanna elephant)
Lineage: Eukaryota; Metazoa; Chordata; Mammalia; Proboscidea; Elephantidae
Rfam family: tRNA
About the family: Transfer RNA (tRNA) molecules are approximately 80 nucleotides in length. Their secondary structure includes four short double-helical elements and three loops (D, anti-codon, and T loops).
Source: Rfam by way of RNAcentral
GUGGUGGUUCAGUGGUAGGAUUCUAGCCUCAAAUGCAGGAGACCUGGGUUCAAUUCCCAGCUGAUACA